Molecule: small nucleolar RNA, 104 nt
Filed under: Zalophus californianus (California sea lion)
Lineage: Eukaryota; Metazoa; Chordata; Mammalia; Carnivora; Otariidae
Description: Small nucleolar RNA SNORA1 (ENSZCAG00015010773.1)
Rfam family: Small nucleolar RNA SNORA1
About the family: ACA1 is a member of the H/ACA class of snoRNA that guide the sites of modification of uridines to pseudouridines.
Source: RNAcentral
AGCUUCCUUUUAAAAAAUUUAAAAAUUGAGGCAACUUGAGACACAGGUUAUACUUCCAUCACAGCAAGUUUAUUGCUGUGGUGACAAUGAGACCUAUAACAUUU